UUUAUGGAGAGUUUGAUCCUGGCUCAGGACGAACGCUGGCGGCAUGCCUAAUACAUGCAAGUCGAGCGAAUCAUUAGGAGCUUGCUCCUAAUGAUUAGCGGCGGACGGGUGAGUAACACGUGGGCAACCUGCCCUGCAGAUGGGGAUAACUCCGGGAAACCGGGGCUAAUACCGAAUAAUCAGUUCCUUCGCAUGAGGGAACUCUGAAAGACGGUUUCGGCUGUCACUGCAGGAUGGGCCCGCGGCGCAUUAGCUAGUUGGUGGGGUAAUGGCCUACCAAGGCAACGAUGCGUAGCCGACCUGAGAGGGUGAUCGGCCACACUG
RNAcentral lists this ribosomal RNA (324 nucleotides) under Sporosarcina sp. BI001-red. RNAcentral describes it as "Bacterial small subunit ribosomal RNA". It matches the Rfam family "Bacterial small subunit ribosomal RNA", at positions 1 to 315 of the family's 1533-position model. The record is from Rfam by way of RNAcentral. Lineage: Bacteria; Bacillati; Bacillota; Bacilli; Caryophanales; Caryophanaceae.